AGAUUAAUCAGGGUCAGAUCUGCAUUACCUAUAUUCGGUCUUCUGAUCAGGUGGCAGAUAUUCUAACCAAAGGGCUUAGCUCAGUGUCUUUUUCUGGAUUGAUUGACAAGAUGGGGCUUCGAGAUAUCUUCGCCUCAUCUUGAGGGGGAGUAUUGGAAGGAUUGAACUUAAUUGGAAAACUAUCAAAUUAAAGGUCCAGGGAUUUAUUCCUUAGCAUAUUUUUGAUUAUUCUCUGGCAUAUUCUUGUUAUUCCCUA
RNAcentral lists this long non-coding RNA (256 nucleotides) under Elaeis guineensis (African oil palm). RNAcentral describes it as "long non-coding RNA (EGUI_LNC027407)". The record is from RNAcentral. Lineage: Eukaryota; Viridiplantae; Streptophyta; Magnoliopsida; Arecales; Arecaceae.